Molecule: long non-coding RNA, 1044 nt
Filed under: Mus musculus (house mouse)
Lineage: Eukaryota; Metazoa; Chordata; Mammalia; Rodentia; Muridae
Description: long non-coding RNA chr13:75778113-75779157
Source: RNAcentral
GGGAAGGCUGGUGACUUUGUCUCCCAUGACUAGUCAUGAUGCCUGCUUUACAGGAGGUGAGAGCCUAGUGCAUAAUGAGCACACAGAACUGCCCAGCUCUGCUGGUGCCUUGUCUGGGUAAACACUUCUGUAGUUAGAGCAAGAAAUGUAGACCACACACACACAAAAAAGAGAACGCCUAUACUAUUAAAAUUGUCACCAGCUCUCUCUGACGUCAGUAAUCAGCCCAUCUGUGUGACGCAACUCUGUUGGGUGAGAACGAAACAAGUAAGCAGACAAGAAGGACAUGCCAAAGGGCUAGAGAAGGAAGCGAAGGCAGGAUUUAUCGCUACUUAACAACAUUUCACAGACAUCAAUGGACUCUCACUUUAAACCACCUUUAGUGGGAGGUGGAAUGACCUACAAAAUGAAAUGAGUGCAAAAGAGUCAUACUGGAUGAGUGACACACAAGAGUACAGGUCAGAUAUCACUACUGGACUCCAGUUUCGACCAGCCUGCUUUAGGAGUUUGGUCUCUGACUUAGUGUUAGUCUUCUAGAGGGGCCCACUAAUAUCUCCUCACUGGCCACUUACAUUCUCCUUCCAUGUGGUUUAGUGUUUCCCAGAGAGAAGUGAAAUAAAUGUUUUGCAUGGAAGGUAAACUUUGCACCACCCUGCCUGCACUCGUAAGUCAGCUCUCAGUGCUUUGUCUCCUCCAGACGAUAAACAUCACCUUUAGCUUGCACAGUGCUUCACUUGAGGCUGGUCCUUGGGUCACUAGUGGCCUCUAGGACUUCUGCUAAUACAGUCCCCACUCCUACCAUUUCUAUUGUGCCUUGCAAAAAUGAAAUGCCACGGCCAGCUUUGCUUCCCACUUGUUGAUGGGGCCACUGUUCCUGGCCUUUGUAGCAUUGUAUGUGGAUCCCCCUUUAGUUGUGAGAAAGGGGACUUGACACUGCUAUGCCUUUGUCUUGAUCUUUAUGCAUUCAGCUAUAUCAUAACUGCCCGUCGUGCUGAAAAAGUGGCCUAUUCUUAUCACUCCACAACUGCAGUCCAUGAUGUCUUU